AUCAGGUAGGGAUACCCGCUGAACUUAAGCAUAUCAAUAAGCGGAGGAAAAGAAACCAACAGGGAUUGCCCUAGUAACGGCGAGUGAAGCGGCAACAGCUCAAAUUUGAAAGCUGGCCUUCGGGUCCGCAUUGUAAUUUGUAGAGGAUGCUUUGGGUAAAACGCCAGUCUAAGUUCCUUGGAACAGGACGUCAUAGAGGGUGAGAAUCCCGUAUGCGGUCGGAAAGGCGCUCUAUACGUAGCUCCUUCGACGAGUCGAGUUGUUUGGGAAUGCAGCUCUAAAUGGGAGGUAAAUUUCUUCUAAAGCUAAAUAUUGGCGAGAGACCGAUAGCGCACAAGUAGAGUGAUCGAAAGAUGAAAAGCACUUUGGAAAGAGAGUUAAAAAGUACGUGAAAUUGUUGAAAGGGAAGCUCAAGCUGCCAGACUUGGCCGCGCCUCUUCGGUGGCGCGGGCAGGCCAGCAUCAGUUCGGGCCGCCUGAUAAAGACCUUUGGAAUGUAGCUCCCUCGGGAGUGUUAUAGCCUUGGGUGUAAUGGGGUGAGCCUGGACUGAGGAUCGCGUUCGCUAGGAUGCUGGCGUAAUGGCAGUUUGCGACCCGUCUUGAAACACGGACCAAGGAGUCUAACAUGCUCGCGAGUAUUUGGGUGUCAAACCCGGAUGCGCAAUGAAAGUGAAUGUAGGUGGGAACCGCAAGGUGCACCAUCGACCGAUCUGGAUCUUUUGAGAUGGAUUUGAGUAAGAGCGCGUAUGUUGGGACCCGAAAGAUGGUGAACUAUGCCUGAAUAGGGUGAAGCCAGAGGAAACUCUGGUGGAGGCUCGCAGCGGUUCUGACGUGCAAAUCGAUCGUCAAAUUUGGGUAUAGGGGCGAAAGACUAAUCGAACCAUCUAGUAGCUGGUUCCAGCCGAAGUUUCCCUCAGGAUAGCAGUAACG
RNAcentral lists this ribosomal RNA (929 nucleotides) under Thalassiosira rotula. Its description in RNAcentral is "partial Eukaryotic large subunit ribosomal RNA". It matches the Rfam family "Eukaryotic large subunit ribosomal RNA", at positions 10 to 989 of the family's 3401-position model. The record is from RNAcentral. Lineage: Eukaryota; Bacillariophyta; Thalassiosirophyceae; Thalassiosirales; Thalassiosiraceae.